AUCACGUGAGAAACCUGCCCCGAAGACCGGGAUAGCCCGGGGAAACCCGGAUUAAUACCGGAUAUUCUCUACAGAUCGCAUGGUCUGCUGAGGAAAUGCCUUUGUGCUUCGGGAUGGUCUCGCGACCUAUCAGCUAGUUGGUGAGGUAAUAGCUCACCAAGGCAACGACGGGUAGCUGGUCUGAGAGGACGAUCAGCCACACUGGGACUGAGACACGGCCCAG
This 223-nucleotide ribosomal RNA is filed under the name uncultured bacterium. Its description in RNAcentral is "partial 16S ribosomal RNA". It matches the Rfam family "Bacterial small subunit ribosomal RNA", at positions 112 to 334 of the family's 1533-position model. The record is from RNAcentral.